Aedes albopictus (Asian tiger mosquito) is the source of this 436-nucleotide long non-coding RNA. RefSeq lists it as uncharacterized. The transcript has 2 exons. Lineage: Eukaryota; Metazoa; Arthropoda; Insecta; Diptera; Culicidae. The record is from RefSeq and is a predicted model, not a curated record.
GCGAACCCGCCAUUACCCUUUAAGGAGUUAAAAGUACCCUCUUUUUUCUUAUGUAUGAAGCUGUCAAAAUAAAGGGUACUUGUCAAUUUCUAAAUAUGGGUAAAUUUUGCCCUUUCUCAGGUUUUGACAGUAUACUCUUUAAUGAGUGAAAAUGUUCUUGAACAUUUUCGUGGCGCACCCAGUCGUACAAGGCUGAUGUUGUUUGGUUUAAAUAUCUCUCAUACAUUGCGAUGCUGCAUAACGCUUUUACAGGUAGGCCCGUGGUUCAAGAGCUCCACCGAGAUCGAGAGCACCGAUGAAGCUGGGAGCGCAAAUUCCAUCGACCGAAGGCUAAAUGCAAAAAGUUCUGGCAAAACAUACACAAAUAUUAAUUAAAUUGAUUAUGAGUUGAGAACGAUGAAAUAAAGUUUUGAAACGAACGGUCAUUUAUCAAGUG